Molecule: transfer RNA, 88 nt
Filed under: Deltaproteobacteria bacterium
Lineage: Bacteria; Pseudomonadati; Myxococcota; Myxococcia
Also listed under: 2 other names
Description: tRNA-Ser
Rfam family: tRNA
About the family: Transfer RNA (tRNA) molecules are approximately 80 nucleotides in length. Their secondary structure includes four short double-helical elements and three loops (D, anti-codon, and T loops).
Source: RNAcentral
GGAGAGGUGGCCGAGCGGCCGAAGGCGCACGCUUGGAAAGCGUGUAUACGGCAACGUAUCGUGGGUUCGAAUCCCACCCUCUCCGCCA